GUGUGAUGCGUUUCUCUGGCCAGGGUUACUCCUUCACUCAGGUUGCUCACAUGCCCACUCACUAAGAGAGCUGCUGCAGCAUUUAGUAUCUGUUCGAUUGUUCAGGCAACCAAGAGAAAUGAUUUCUCAGAGGGUUAAAAUAGAUAUAGCAGGGUUCUACACCUGGAACAUAAGUGGCACAGGUUUGAAAGCCAAUGUUGGGAUUCUAGGUAAAACAGUCUACUUUGUUGUACGAACAAAGUUAGGUGCAGGUGGAUGCAACUCAUGCAUUUUUUGUUCCAUUCCACUGAAACAAAUUCUUUGUUGAAAUCGUUUUAAGAACUAGCAGAAUCCAAAUUCGUAUUUUACAAGUACUGUAUCUUGGCAAACAUUAAGGAUCAAUGAUUACUGCUGGAAAACAUAGAAGGCUUAAGAGUUUUAUGUUCCGAUGCAAUAGGAUUGUUUACUGUAACUUUAUUC
This is a long non-coding RNA of Macadamia integrifolia, 459 nucleotides long. RefSeq lists it as uncharacterized. The record is from RefSeq and is a predicted model, not a curated record. The transcript has 2 exons. NCBI's taxonomy places the organism in Eukaryota, Viridiplantae, Streptophyta, Magnoliopsida, Proteales, Proteaceae.